This 456-nucleotide long non-coding RNA is filed under the name Sorghum bicolor (sorghum). RNAcentral describes it as "long non-coding RNA (SBIC_LNC017693)". Lineage: Eukaryota; Viridiplantae; Streptophyta; Magnoliopsida; Poales; Poaceae. The record is from RNAcentral.
GUGGAGUAAAUGAUAGUAAUGAUAAAAAUGUAUAAGUGAUGAUAAAACUUACUUCUCAUUGCUCCUCAUAUUGCUAUCUCUCCUCCUUUUUUAUCUUUGCUUUGGGAGAACAUGGGCUAUCUCUUUUUCUUCUUUUUUUUCAGGUGGGCAGUAGAUACCCAUAAUUCUACCAUCGGACACUUGUCUAUUUUUUCCGCUCAAGUGGGUAUCUUUGUACCCCUAAUUCUACUCCUGACACUUGUCCAUUUUUACCUCUCGUCUCACUCUUUACUUUCUUUUUCGAGGUUCCGGGCACUUGCCCCUUUUUAUAUCCUCUUAUAUUAUUUUGCAUAACCCAUGCCUCUUCUGCAUUGAAUCCUUUUGGAGAGAGAGAAUAACAACACUUGGGACAGUGAGUGAUAAUAUUUUUAGCAAUUUUAAUGAAUGGUGGUGGAUGGUGUAGUAGAUGUGUGCAAG